This 372-nucleotide long non-coding RNA is filed under the name Mytilus galloprovincialis (Mediterranean mussel). Lineage: Eukaryota; Metazoa; Mollusca; Bivalvia; Mytilida; Mytilidae. The record is from RNAcentral.
CAUUUGGCAAAAGAAGACGCUUUUUAGAGCAAACCCGCCCACCCUCCCCUUAAUUUGUUAGAAUGCAAUUCCUGCGGAAGAUACUGCUGUUUUUUUUUUUUCAGAUUUGUAUUGUCCACAUAGAUUAUAUCGUCAUACCAUGUUGAAAGCUGUUCAGAUUCUAAUAUAGAGACUGUCAAUCAACGAAAAAUAGAUGAUUAUAGAUGAAUACUGGCCGCAAAAGAGUGGACAUACACAUAAAUUGAAAGGAUAACUUGGAAGUGAUUAAUUACGGAUUUUAUUACAUUCUAACAUGUGAAAUAGUUGCAGAUUUGAAUUAAUCAAUGAUAGCGAUAACUUCUGAUUUCCAGAGUUUUGAUCUAAUUGUUACAU